CACGUUGAAACGCGUAGUAGUAUCAGCUUGUGACUGGGAUAACAGCGAAGGUUGUAAUACUGGAUAGAGCGCAAAGUUGUGAGGACUUUUGCGGGAAGGGAGGCCGUACAUACGGUUUUGCACUGAGAUGAGCCUGCGUCCCAUCAGCUAGUUGGUGAGGUAAGAGCUUACCAAGGCAAUGACGGGUAGCUGGUCUGAGAGGACGAUCAGCCACACUGGAACUGAAACACGGUCCAGACUCCUACGGGAGGCAGCAGUGGGGAAUCUUGCGCAAUGGAGGAAACUCUGACGCAGCGACGCCGCGUGGGUGAAGAAGGCCUUCGGGUUGUAAAGCCCUGUCGAGAGGGAAAAACGGUACUGCAAUAAUACGGCAGUAGCGUGAUUGGUACCUCUAAAGGAAGCACCGGCUAACUCUGUGCCAGCAGCCGCGGUAAUACAGAGGGUGCAAGCGUUGUUCGGAAUUAUUGGGCGUAAAGGGCAGGUAGGUGGUCUAUCAAGAGUGCUGUGAAAUCCCUGAGCUUAUCAGGAAGUGCGGGGCUGACUGAUGGACUAGAGUACUGGAGGGGUUUGGGGAAUUCCCGGUGUAGGGUGAAUUGGUAA
This 600-nucleotide ribosomal RNA is filed under the name uncultured bacterium. Its description in RNAcentral is "bacterial SSU rRNA". It matches the Rfam family "Bacterial small subunit ribosomal RNA", at positions 100 to 693 of the family's 1533-position model. The record is from RNAcentral.